Molecule: ribosomal RNA, 497 nt
Filed under: uncultured bacterium
Lineage: Bacteria
Description: partial 16S ribosomal RNA
Rfam family: Bacterial small subunit ribosomal RNA
Source: RNAcentral
GAUGAACGCUGGCGGCGUGCCUAAUACAUGCAAGUCGAGCGAACAGAUGAGGAGCUUGCUCCUCUGACGUUAGCGGCGGACGGGUGAGUAACACGUGGAUAACCUACCUAUAAGACUGGGAUAACUUCGGGAAACCGGAGCUAAUACCGGAUAAUAUUUUGAACCGCAUGGUUCAUUAGUGAAAGACGGUUUUGCUGUCACUUAUAGAUGGAUCCGCGCCGCAUUAGCUAGUGGGGAAGGUAACGGCUUACCAAGGCAACGAUGCGUAGCCGACCUGAGAGGGUGAUCGGCCACACUGGAACUGAGACACGGUCCAGACUCCUACGGGAGGCAGCAGUAGGGAAUCUUCCGCAAUGGGCGAAAGCCUGACGGAGCAACGCCGCGUGAGUGAUGAAGGUCUUCGGAUCGUAAAACUCUGUUAUUAGGGAAGAACAAAUGUGUAAGUAACUAUGCACGUCUUGACGGUACCUAAUCAGAAAGCCACGGCUAACUACGUG